RNAcentral lists this ribosomal RNA (496 nucleotides) under uncultured bacterium. Its description in RNAcentral is "partial 16S ribosomal RNA". It matches the Rfam family "Bacterial small subunit ribosomal RNA", at positions 28 to 506 of the family's 1533-position model. The record is from RNAcentral.
GAUGAACGCUGGCGGCGUGCCUAAUACAUGCAAGUCGAGCGAACAGACGAGGAGCUUGCUCCACUGACGUUAGCGGCGGACGGGUGAGUAACACGUGGAUAACCUACCUAUAAGACUGGGAUAACUUCGGGAAACCGGAGCUAAUACCGGAUAACAUGUUGAACCGCAUGGUUCAACAGUGAAAGACGGUUUUGCUGUCACUUAUAGCUGGAUCCGCGCCGCAUUAGCUAGUUGGUAAGGUAACGGCUUACCAAGGCAACGAUGCGUAGCCGACCUGGGAGGGUGAUCGGCCACGCGGGAACGGAGACACGGACCAGACUCCUACGGGGGGCAGCAGUAGGAAGUCUGCCGCAAGGGGCGAAAGCCUGACGAAGCAACGCCGCGUGAGUGAGGAAGGUCUUCGGAUCGUAAAACUCUGUUAUUAGGGAAGAACAAAUGUGUAGGUAACUAUGCACGUCUGGACGGUACCUAAUCAGAAGGCCACGGCAAACUACGU